CGGUGCUGCCUGGCCCUACAGUGAGCUUCAGGCCUUCCUCUGCCCUCUCGAGGUCCCCAGGGGCCAUCAGCUGCUCCCCUGCCUCCUGUGAGGCUUAUCCACAGUGAACACGGGACGUCUUCCAGGUUCCGCCUGCCCCAUGAGUGAGACCGGUCCUGAGCCGAGGGAGCCAGACAUCUCCAGAGAGGAGGGGAGCCGCGGACGUGCCUGGAGGACAUGGGAGCUGUGGGGACGCCGCAUCCCGGUCCCCACGUCCCCUCCCG
Molecule: long non-coding RNA, 263 nt
Filed under: Mustela putorius furo (domestic ferret)
Lineage: Eukaryota; Metazoa; Chordata; Mammalia; Carnivora; Mustelidae
Description: lncRNA (ENSMPUG00000026118.1)
Source: RNAcentral